RNAcentral lists this ribosomal RNA (253 nucleotides) under uncultured bacterium. RNAcentral describes it as "partial 16S ribosomal RNA". It matches the Rfam family "Bacterial small subunit ribosomal RNA", at positions 524 to 776 of the family's 1533-position model. The record is from RNAcentral.
UACGUAGGGGGCAAGCGUUGUCCGGAUUUAUUGGGCGUAAAGAGCGUGUAGGCGGCCAGGUAGGUCAGCUGUGAAAACUCGAGGCUCAACCUCGAGAUGUCGGCUGAAAGCAUCUGGCUAGAGUCCGGAAGAGGAGAAUGGAAUUCCCGGUGUAGCGGUGAAAUGCGCAGAUAUCAGGAAGAACACCCGUGGCUAAGGCGGCUCUCUAGUACGGUACUGACGCUGAGACGCGAAAGCGUGGGGAGCGAACAGG